This 482-nucleotide ribosomal RNA is filed under the name uncultured bacterium. RNAcentral's name for it is "partial 16S ribosomal RNA". It matches the Rfam family "Bacterial small subunit ribosomal RNA", at positions 30 to 505 of the family's 1533-position model. The record is from RNAcentral.
AUCGAACGCUGGCGGCAGGCCUAACACAUGCAAGUCGAGCGGAUGAAGGGAGCUUGCUCCUGGAUUCAGCGGCGGACGGGUGAGUAAUGCCUAGGAAUCUGCCUGGUAGUGGGGGAUAACGUCCGGAAACGGGCGCUAAUACCGCAUACGUCCUGAGGGAGAAAGUGGGGGAUCUUCGGACCUCACGCUAUCAGAUGAGCCUAGGUCGGAUUAGCUAGUUGGUGGGGUAAAGGCCUACCAAGGCGACGAUCCGUAACUGGUCUGAGAGGAUGAUCAGUCACACUGGGACUGAGACACGGUCCAGACUCCUACGGGAGGCAGCAGUGGGGAAUAUUGGACCAUGGGCGAAAGCCUGAUCCAGCCAUGCCGCGUGUGUGAAGAAGGUCUUCGGAUUGUAAAGCACUUUAAGUUGGGAGGAAGGGCAGUAAGUUAAUACCUUGCUGUUUUGACGUUACCAACAGAAUAAGCACCGGCUAACUUCG